GAAAGAGAGAGACUCCUCACCUCUCCUUCUGGGGAGUGUGGGGGUGUUUUGUGUAUCUCGGUAAGCUGGCUGUCCCCAGGAGAGUCAGGAUUUUGCAGGUGAAGAAACUCAUAGGAAAAGCAACUUGCCUAAGCUCAGUCAGAAAAUGAGUAGCAGAGCCAGCUACAUGUGAUCCAAUGAAUUCCCAGGGAAGCCAUUGCCAGCACUUCAUUCCCUGGACAGACUGAAAACGUUGCUUGUAAGGCCUGACCGUAGUUCCAGUGAUACCAAACUGGAGGGAAGCAGAGAGUGGUGAUAGACACUACCAUGGAUCACAGAUGAUGUAGUGCUAUAAAUCCUACCUCCACCCUACAUGUAGCCGGCAGGAAAUGCAAAAGAAGUUUUCUGGAGAGAGAGCCAACUUUUAACCACUGAGGAGCAAAGAGCUGAAGGGCUAACAUUACACAGAAGGCUUCUCCUGAAGACCUUAUGUGACAGGUGUUCCACCCUAAGCCUGGAGGAAAAGCAUGCUACAUUGGGAGAGAGACCAAGAAGAAUCUGAACAGAGGCCUUGCUGGGUUUCUCUCCGUCUGUUACCGUGAGAUUGUGCCAUUUUUGUCUAAGCACAUUUUUACACAGCUGUCCAUUCUUCAUUGGAUCUAAGCUUACAAGAGUAUUGGCGGUGACCCUUGUGAUGCGUGAUUGAAGAGAUGUUACAUCUUUUUUACCCCUACAUCAGCAAACAUUUACGGGCACUUAUUAUGUACCAGUGUAAGGGAUGAAAAAAAUUGCUUCCCUCUGGGUGGUGCCUGUGGCUCAGUGAGUAGGGCGCGGGCCGCAUAUGCCGAGGGUGGCGGGUUCAAACCCAGCCCCGGCCAAACUGCAACAAAAAAAUAGCUGGGUGUUGUGGUGGACGCCUGUAGUCCCAGCUGCUCAGGAGGCUGAGGCAAGAGAAUCGCGUAAGCCCAAGAGUUAAGAGGUUGCUGUGAGCUUUGUGACGUCAUGGCAUUCUACCCGAGAGCGGUACAGUGAGACUCUGUCUCUACAAAAAAAAAAAAAAAAAUUGCUUCCCUCUCUCCCUUCUAGGUAGUUUGGCUGGUCUGCAAAUUAAAUUGAUGUAAAACAGAUUAAGAGGAAAAAAACUAUUUUAGUAAUGUAUGCGUGCAUAGGAGUCCUACAAAAAUAUGGCAUUCAAAGACAAGGACAGAUGAUCGAGGCUUAUAUCAUCUUGAGCUACAGAAAGGAAUAAAGUUUGGGGGUCCUGGGGGGUGGGGGUGGGACGAGAUGUUAUGGGAGGGUGGUGGGGAAUGUAUGGCAAGUAAAUGUUGUCUUAUAAAGCAGAUGAAAGUUUCUCAGGUGAUAAAAGUUGUCUAGGAGUAGCUCUUUUCCUAGUGCAGACAUCUUUACUAGUAAAAAUUUUCUUUGUAAAUGUAAAUUUCCUUUACAAAAGGGCAACUCUUCAGAGCUACUCCUGUGUCUGCAGUUUCUUAAAUUAAGCAGCUCAAGAUAAUCAAUAUACCAAAAAGGAAUAUUUGGGGGGUAGUGCAUUUUGGUCUCCUGCAGUUAUAUUUUGGGGUGGUGUGUCUUGACCCCCAACGUAAGGCACUUUUUACAAAGAUUUUAUUUAAACCUCUUAAUAAACCCAUGCCAUAGGCACCAUUAUACUCUCUUUACAGACCCAAUGCAACUGGGUCUCAAAGAGGUUAACUAAUGUGUUCAAGGUUAUAUGGUGGGGUCAGGAUUUUGAAUUUGGGAGGUCGGAUUCUAAAACCCCACACCUUUUAAAAAUCAAAAUAUAUUUCACAUACCGUAAACUUCAUCUUUUAAAGUGUAUAAUUCCAUGGUUUUUAGUAUAUUCACAGAGUUGUGCACCUAUCACUGUUAUCUAAUUGCAUAUUAGUCCCUAUUCCUCCCUCUGCCCCUGGCGAUCACUAAUUUACUGUUGGUCUCUACGAUUUGUUUACUCAGGACAUUUCAUGUAAACACUGUCAUAUAACAUUUA
Nycticebus coucang (slow loris) is the source of this 1981-nucleotide long non-coding RNA. RefSeq lists it as uncharacterized. Lineage: Eukaryota; Metazoa; Chordata; Mammalia; Primates; Lorisidae. The record is from RefSeq and is a predicted model, not a curated record. The transcript is spliced from 7 exons.